CUCAGAGAGGAUUAAAGAGGGACAUUCGAGUCACUUCACAGUCACUGCCGCACAGACAUGAUGGCUUUACUGGGAAUGUUCCUCUGGACACUGGCCCUGUCUGUUCAAGGCUCUGGGGCUCAGAUCAUCCUGACUCAGAGUCCAGCAGUGGAAUCGGUCGCUGUAGGAGUCACUGUCACUCUGAACUGCCAAUCCAGCAGCUCUGCAUUUCAGAGCAGCUUAGCCUGGUAUCAGCAGAAACCUGGAGAAAGUCCCAAACUUCUCUUCUCCUCAGUGGGUAACAAGGUGUCUGGGAUUCCAGACCGUUUCUCCGAUAGUCGUGUUGGCACAAAUUUCAGGCUGAAAAUCAGUGGAGUGCAGGCUGAAGAUGCAGGAGAUUAUUACUGUCAACAGCAUUAUGAUUUUCCGUACACACAGUGACACAGGCCAGUACAAAAACCUCACUCAGCUGUGCAUGCGCUCAGUCUAGGAAAACAACUAUCAAAACUGGCAAGAUAUAUUCACACUACUGUAAUUCACUGGAUUAUAAUGGUCCUUCAUACCCUGAGGCCCUGUACUGGAUGGUGGGUGCUUAUUUAUUUAUUUAUUUAUUUUAUUUUAUUUUAUUUACUUAAUUUGUUCAUUUUCAUUGGGAAAUGGUUUCAUCCUUUAAUUUAUUGGACUAUGCACCAUACUUUCUAUAAUUUCUAUGAUGAAAAAAAUACUUUUAUAAAUCUGAAUAUUUAUUA
This is a non-coding RNA of Brienomyrus brachyistius, 728 nucleotides long. The record is from the annotation of a RefSeq genome assembly. NCBI's taxonomy places the organism in Eukaryota, Metazoa, Chordata, Actinopteri, Osteoglossiformes, Mormyridae.